RNAcentral lists this transfer RNA (124 nucleotides) under Bacteriophage sp. RNAcentral describes it as "tRNA-OTHER". It matches the Rfam family "tRNA". Rfam says of the family: Transfer RNA (tRNA) molecules are approximately 80 nucleotides in length. The record is from RNAcentral.
UGUAGGGUAGCGAAGUGGUUAAACGCAUCAGAAGAAAAAUGUGAUUAGGAAUAAUCACUAACAGCAAAAUCAGACUCUAAAUCUGACACCGAUGGUUUCAAAGGUUCGAAUCCUUUCCCUACAA